GUCUUUUUGGUUAAUAAUUUAAAGUCUAAUCUGCCCACUGAUAAUAUAUUAAAGGGCUGCAGUAUUUUGACUGUACAAAGGUAGCAUAAUCAUUAGUCUCUUAAUUGGUGACUUGUAUGAAAGAUUUGAUGAGAUAUAUACUGUCUCUUUUUAAUUUAUAAAAUUUAAUUUUUUAGUUAAAAAGCUAAAAUAUAUUUAAAAGACGAGAAGACCCUAUAGAGUUUUAUAUUUAUAUAAAUUAAAAUUUUUUAUAAGCUUUAAAAUUUUAAUUUAUAUAAAUAUUUUGUUGGGGUGAUAAAAAAAUUAAAAUAACUUUUUUUAUAAUUUUACAUUAAUAAAUGAAUAAAUGAUCCGUAAUUUACGAUUAUAAGAUAAAAUUACCUUAGGGAUAACAGCGUAAUUUUUUUUUUUAGUUCAAAUAAGAAAAAAAGUUUGCGACCUCGAUGUUGGAUUAAGAUAAAAUUUAAAUGCAAAAGUUUAAAAUUUUUGAUCUGUUCGAUCAUUAAAAUCUUACA
RNAcentral lists this ribosomal RNA (515 nucleotides) under Parnassius epaphus tsaidamensis. Its description in RNAcentral is "partial 16S rRNA". The stretch from base 388 to 515 matches the Rfam family "Bacterial large subunit ribosomal RNA", at positions 2473 to 2600 of the family's 2925-position model. The record is from RNAcentral. Lineage: Eukaryota; Metazoa; Arthropoda; Insecta; Lepidoptera; Papilionidae.